GUUCACACUUAAACCCCCAGCUGUUUCCUGUGGGGCCCCAGAUCAUUUGACCUAAGAACAACAGAGCCCAUGUCCUGCUCGUCAUUUCCCAGGAUGGAAUUUGCAACGUGUUUUCUCAACUCACCCCCGUCAGACUUGAGUGAAAUGAACUCUGAGCAUGUCUGCUUUUCCCAGCAAACCUCAGCUAAUCCAAGGACAGUCAUUAACUUGUUAUUCUAAGUAAUCCUCUGCUGAAAGCUGUGAGCCGCCUGGGGUGGACGAGGGCAGGAUUUUCAAGCACAAAAAUAUUGGACCUGCGGCUCCCAUGAGGACAGACAGCCUCCCCAGAGGAGGGGAGGGAUUCGACAGCCUCA
Molecule: non-coding RNA, 353 nt
Filed under: Pongo abelii (Sumatran orangutan)
Lineage: Eukaryota; Metazoa; Chordata; Mammalia; Primates; Hominidae
Source: RNAcentral